ACCCAGACUCCUACGGGAGGCAGCAGUGAGGAAUAUUGGUCAAUGGCCGAGAGGCUGAACCAGCCAAGUCGCGUGAGCGAAGACGGCCCUACGGGUUGUAAACCUCUUUUGUCGGGGAGCAAAGAGAGUCACGUGUGACUCAUUGAGAGUACCCGAAGAAAAAGCAUCGGCUAACUCCGUGCCAGCAGCCGCGGUAAUACGGAGGAUGCGAGCGUUAUCCGGAUUUAUUGGGUUUAAAGGGUGCGCAGGCGGAGGUGCAAGUCAGCGGUCAAAUUGCGGGGCUCAACCCCGUACUGCCGUUGAAACUGCAUCUCUUGAGUGCGCGAGAAGUAUGCGGAAUGCGUGGUGUAGCGGUGAAAUGCAUAGAUAUCGCGCAGAACUCCGAUUGCGAAGGCAGCAUGCCGGCUCCACACUGACGCUGAGGCACGAAAGCGUGGGUAUCGAACAGGAUUAGAUACCCUCGUAUG
RNAcentral lists this ribosomal RNA (467 nucleotides) under uncultured bacterium. RNAcentral's name for it is "bacterial SSU rRNA". It matches the Rfam family "Bacterial small subunit ribosomal RNA", at positions 329 to 794 of the family's 1533-position model. The record is from RNAcentral.